UACAGAGGGGGCAAGCGUUAUUCGGAAUUAUUGGGCGUAAAGGGCGCGUAGGCGGCGUGACAAGUCACUUGUGAAAUCUCCGGGCUUAACUCGGAACGGUCAAGUGAUACUGUCGUGCUAGAGUACAGAAGGGGCAACUGGAAUUCUCGGUGUAGCGGUGAAAUGCGUAGAUAUCGAGAGGAACACCUGCGGCGAAGGCGGGUUGCUGGGCUGAUACUGACGCUGAGGAGCGAAAGCGUGGGGAGCAAACAGG
RNAcentral lists this ribosomal RNA (253 nucleotides) under uncultured bacterium. RNAcentral's name for it is "partial 16S ribosomal RNA". It matches the Rfam family "Bacterial small subunit ribosomal RNA", at positions 524 to 776 of the family's 1533-position model. The record is from RNAcentral.